This 253-nucleotide ribosomal RNA is filed under the name uncultured bacterium. RNAcentral's name for it is "partial 16S ribosomal RNA". It matches the Rfam family "Bacterial small subunit ribosomal RNA", at positions 524 to 776 of the family's 1533-position model. The record is from RNAcentral.
UACAGAGGUCUCAAGCGUUGUUCGGAUUCAUUGGGCGUAAAGGGCGUGUAGGCGGUUAAGUAAGUGGGAUGUGAAAUCCCUCGGCUCACCCGAGGACCUGCAUCUCAAACUGCUUAGCUUGAGUAUGGGAGAGGAUGAGGGAAUUCCUGGUGUAGCGGUGAAAUGCGUAGAUAUCAGGAGGAACACCGGUGGCGAAGGCGCUCAUCUGGCCCAAUACUGACGCUGAGGCGCGAAAGCUAGGGGAGCAAACGGG